AUGGAUUUGAACAUGAUGCCUCAAGAGGAAGACGAUGAAGGUAUUAAUUUGAAUUUGAUGCCUCAAGAGGAGGAACCUCAAGUGGCAGAGAAUGUAGCUAUGGAUUUGAACUUGAUGCCUCAAGAAGAAGAUGAUGAAGAUAUGAAUUGGAUGCCUCAAGAAGAUGAAGGGAAAGAGGAUGAAGCUCAAGAGGAAGAGGAUGAAGUUAUGAAUUGGAUACUUCAAGAGAAGAGAAGAGAAUUGUCAGAUAAGGAGAGGCAUGGUGUUUACUUCGCCUUGCUGGUAAUCGAGCUCAGAGAUGGGUCUGUUCAACCAGACGACAAGCUGCUAGUCUCAAACCUGUUGGACAUAAGUGUACGAUCUAUUGAAAGAAUCUGGGAAGACGCCAAAAAGCAAAUUGCCGAUGGCAAAGAAGUAGAUGUCUCAAGCAAGAAGCCGGGAAGAUCUGGCCGAAAGAGAAAGGAGCUAGAUCUAGAGAGGACUUCAACAAUCCCACUGAAUAAAAGAAAAACAAUUCGAUCUCUGGCACGGUCUCUAGGUGUGGCCCGAUCGACCCUACAUAAGAGGUUCCAGUUGAAUGAGCUCAACCGCAUCACAAGCACCGUGAAGCCUCACCUCAAGCUAGAGAACAAGCUUGCGAGAUUGAAAUUUUGUAUGUCCAUGGUCGAUGACAAUUCGAUCUCAACUUCUCGGGCUAUGUUCAAACCAAUGAUGAAUAUGGUUCACAUCGAUGAGAAGUGGUUUGACAUGACAAGAGUGAAGAAUAGUUACUAUGUACUUCCAGGAGAACCUGAACCAAAGUGCACUGUGUCAAACACUCGCAGCAUUGGGAAGGUAAUGUUCCUAACAGCUGUUGCCAGGCCUUGA
Molecule: ribosomal RNA, 867 nt
Filed under: Triticum aestivum (bread wheat)
Lineage: Eukaryota; Viridiplantae; Streptophyta; Magnoliopsida; Poales; Poaceae
Description: partial small subunit ribosomal RNA
Source: RNAcentral